CUUAGUUUCGGCAGGCUGAGAUGAGCGGCUGAGAUCUCGCGAGAGCUGUGAGCUGUGCGUAAGUAAAAUGCCGACAUACAUGUAGAAAAUUAAAUCCACUCAGGUAAGUACUAACCACUCAGGUAAGUACUAACGAAAAUAAGAAGAUGAAAGAAUCCAUUCUGGACAUACAGUUGCGAAGUAUGAGAGAUAACCUCGUCUUUGCAGGCAUCCCGGAGCAGCAGGAGGAGGAUCCCAAGGUGGCACUCCGUAAGUUUCUCCAGCAGAAGCUGAAAAUCCCGGCGGAUCAGAUAAAAAUCAUCACCUUCCAUCGCGUUCACCGGCUUGGAGGAUGUGCACGAUAUCAACAUGAAACGCACUGUGGCCCUUCGUUGUCUCUCACUAUACUUGCAGGAAGAGGACACACAGUUUUUCAAUACUUGGAACAAUGAGGAAUCAGAGGAGUUGGACAUCGGGAACACACCCAUUGGUAUUGUUACGGAGAUCAGAGGAAGAAGUGCAUAUCUACUUCACGUCAGUCCUGCAUCCACAGCCAUUGUGGUUGGAGAUGACUUUCUCAUGAGGGACAUUACCACAUUUGCUGAUGCAUAUGUGUUACUGUUUGGGCUGGUUUAUGAUUUGCAACUGGACUACCCAAAGAAGCUUGUUGGCACCUUCAGUCUUCUUUCAAAAGGUUCUCAUGGGGUUGGAUGAUGGUGCACCCCUGAAACCGUCUCUGCUUUCUUUGAAAAAUGACCUGCUUUCAAUGUAGACAUUAUGUAAUUGUCCUCCCUCCCUCCCUUUUUAUUAGAUUUUUUUCUAUUUCUGUGCAAUGACACUUUUGGUUAUUUAUUGAAUUUAUUAUUUAUUCAUUUAAAGUUAUUUAUUGUCUUAAGUUACAUUUUGAAGUAGAAAGGCCAUAGCUGUAAGUUCACUAGAAGAUGGUUUUGGAAGUUUUUAAAGGCCAUACCUUUACACUGAGUACAAGUUCCCUGUAUCAGUUACACAUGUCUGCAAAUAAUUUGCACACACACCCAUACAGAUGUGUGUAUCUGGUGUUGGUUUACCUACAGUUUUAGAGAAAAAGCAUUUUAAUAAAAACAUUUAAAAUAUUCUGCAUUUGUUGUGUGAAGAAGUUUGAGUAUUCUGAACUUAAAAAAAAGUAGGUUAUGAGAUAUCUAAAAGUAUCUUUUUGGUUACUAAACAGUAUAAUUUUUGAGUUUAAAAAAGUUAAUCAAUUGAGUACCAUAUUAUCCUAACAAAUUAUUGCAAAGAAAUUAAAAGAUAUAUACAAAUUAAAAUAAAUGUCUUAAGUGCAGUGCACUCACAAUGUUUAUUUUGAGUGAAUUAGUAAUGUUUGAUUGUUAAUUAUGUAAAAGUUGUAAGUAAUUCAAACUUAAAUACUCUAACUUCUUUACUCAAAAACUGUGAGGUAAUCGGUUUCCACAAAGAUUUUGAGUAUUCUGAACUGAUUCGGGUUUACAGUGUUGUAGUGUCCACAUAAUUUGAAAUUCUCCCCGCAGGAAUCACAAUAAAACUAUGCAUAAAUC
Long non-coding RNA from Fundulus heteroclitus (mummichog), 1529 nucleotides. RefSeq lists it as uncharacterized. The transcript has 3 exons. NCBI's taxonomy places the organism in Eukaryota, Metazoa, Chordata, Actinopteri, Cyprinodontiformes, Fundulidae. The record is from RefSeq and is a predicted model, not a curated record.